GGGCCUGUAGCUCAGUUGGUUAGAGCAAUCGACUCAUAAUCGAUUGGCCGUAGGUUCGAGUCCUACCAGGCCCACCA
RNAcentral lists this transfer RNA (77 nucleotides) under Pseudomonadota bacterium. Its description in RNAcentral is "Proteobacteria bacterium (cold seep metagenome) tRNA-Ile". It matches the Rfam family "tRNA". From Rfam's summary of the family: Transfer RNA (tRNA) molecules are approximately 80 nucleotides in length. Their secondary structure includes four short double-helical elements and three loops (D, anti-codon, and T loops). The record is from RNAcentral. Lineage: Bacteria; Pseudomonadati; Pseudomonadota.